AAAGCACUUUCAGUCGUGAGGAAGGUAGUGUAGUUAAUAGCUGCAUUAUUUGACGUUAGCGACAGAAGAAGCACCGGCUAACUCCGUGCCAGCAGCCGCGGUAAUACGGAGGGUGCGAGCGUUAAUCGGAAUUACUGGGCGGUAAAGCGCAUGCAGGUGGUUUGUUAAGUCAGAUGUGAAAGACCCGGGGCGUCAACCUCGGAAUAGCAUUUGAAACUAGGCAGACUAGAGUACUGUAGAGGGGGGUAGGAAUUUCAGGUGUAGCGGUGAAAUGCGUAGAGAUCUGAAGGAAUACCGGUGGCGAAGGCGGCCCCCUCGGACAGAUACUGACACUCAGAUGCGAAAGCGUGGGGAGCAAACAGGAUUAGAUACCCUGGUAG
This 380-nucleotide ribosomal RNA is filed under the name uncultured bacterium. Its description in RNAcentral is "bacterial SSU rRNA". It matches the Rfam family "Bacterial small subunit ribosomal RNA", at positions 427 to 793 of the family's 1533-position model. The record is from RNAcentral.